GACGAGGGGUCCAAGCGUUGUUCGGAAUCAUUGGGCGUAGAGCGGGUGUAGGUGGCUCUAUAAGUCAGAAGUGAAAGCCCCGGGCUUAACCCGGGAAGUGCUUUUGAUACUGCAGAGCUUGAAUGUGGGAGAGGGUAGUGGAAUUCCAGGUGUAGUGGUGAAAUACGUAGAUAUCUGGAGGAACACCGGUGGCGAAGGCGGCUACCUGGCCCAACAUUGACACUGAGACCCGAAAGCGUGGGGAGCAAACAGG
Molecule: ribosomal RNA, 253 nt
Filed under: uncultured bacterium
Lineage: Bacteria
Description: partial 16S ribosomal RNA
Rfam family: Bacterial small subunit ribosomal RNA
Source: RNAcentral